GAUGAACGCUAGCUACAGGCCUAACACAUGCAAGUCGAGGGGCAUCGGGAGGGAAGCUUGCUUCCCUUGCCGGCGACCGGCGCACGGGUGAGUAACGCGUAUCGAACCUGCCCCAUACCCGGGGAUAGCCUUGCGAAAGUAAGAUUAAUACCCGAUGGCUUCCUUUUAUCUCCUGAUAGAGGGAAUAAAGAAUUUCGGUAUGGGAUGGCGAUGCGUCCGAUUAGCUAGUUGGCGGGGUAACGGCCCACCAAGGCGACGAUCGGUAGGGGUUCUGAGAGGAAGGUCCCCCCACAUUGGAACUGAGACACGGUCCAAACUCCUACGGGAGGCAGCAGUGAGGAAUAUUGGUCAAUGGGCGAAAGCCUGAACCAGUCAAGUAGCGUGCAGGAUGACGGGCCCUACGGGUUGUAAACUGCUUUAGGCGGGGGUAAAGGAGCGGACGUGUUCCGCUUUUGCAAGUACCGCCA
RNAcentral lists this ribosomal RNA (467 nucleotides) under uncultured bacterium. RNAcentral's name for it is "bacterial SSU rRNA". It matches the Rfam family "Bacterial small subunit ribosomal RNA", at positions 28 to 483 of the family's 1533-position model. The record is from RNAcentral.